Molecule: ribosomal RNA, 253 nt
Filed under: uncultured bacterium
Lineage: Bacteria
Description: partial 16S ribosomal RNA
Rfam family: Bacterial small subunit ribosomal RNA
Source: RNAcentral
GACGUAGGGCGCGAGCGUUGUCCGGAAUUACUGGGCGUAAAGCGCGUGUAGGCGGCUAGGUAAGUCAGGCGUGAAAUCCCACGGCUCAACCGUGGAAGUGCACCUGAUACUGCAUAGCUAGAGUCCUGGAGAGGAAGGUGGAAUGCUUGGUGUAGAGGUGAAAUUCGUAGAUAUCAAGCGGAACACCGGUGGCGAAGGCGGCCUUCUGGACAGUGACUGACGCUGAGACGCGAAAGCGUGGGGAGCAAACAGG